CAAUAUAUGAGACCGGCGCACGGGUGCGUAACGCGUAUGCAAUCUACCUUUUACAGGGGGAUAGCCCAGAGAAAUUUGGAUUAAUACCCCAUGGUAUAUUUUAGUGGCAUCACUAGAUUAUUAAAGUUCCAACGGUAAAAGAUGAGCAUGCGUCCCAUUAGCUAGAUGGUAAGGUAACGGCUUACCAUGGCUACGAUGGGUAGGGGUCCUGAGAGGGAGAUCCCCCACACUGGUACUGAGACACGGACCAGACUCCUACGGGAGGCAGCAGUGAGGAAUAUUGGACAAUGGGCGCAAGCCUGAUCCAGCCAUGCCGCGUGCAGGAAGAAGCAUCUAUGGUGUGUAAACUGCUUUUGUACGGGAAGAAACACUCCCUCGUGAGGGAGCUUGACGGUACCGUAAGAAUAAGGAUCGGCUAACUCCGUGCCAGCAGCCGCGGUAAUACGGAGGAUCCAAGCGUUAUCCGGAAUCAUUGGGUUUAAAGGGUCCGUAGGCGGUUUGGUAAGUCAGUGGUGAAAGCCCAUCGCUUAACGAUGGAACGGCCAUUGAUACUGCCAGACUUGAAUUACUGGGAAGUAACUAGAAUAUGUAGUGUAGCGGUGAAAUGCUUAGAUAUUACAUGGAAUACCAAUUGCGAAGGCAGGUUACUACCGGUGGAUUGACGCUGAUGGA
This 672-nucleotide ribosomal RNA is filed under the name uncultured Bacteroidota bacterium. Its description in RNAcentral is "bacterial SSU rRNA". It matches the Rfam family "Bacterial small subunit ribosomal RNA", at positions 83 to 753 of the family's 1533-position model. The record is from RNAcentral. Lineage: Bacteria; Pseudomonadati; Bacteroidota.